This 441-nucleotide ribosomal RNA is filed under the name uncultured bacterium. RNAcentral's name for it is "partial 16S ribosomal RNA". It matches the Rfam family "Bacterial small subunit ribosomal RNA", at positions 338 to 795 of the family's 1533-position model. The record is from RNAcentral.
CCUACGGGUGGCAGCAGUCGGGAAUAUUGCGCAAUGGACGAAACUCUGACGCAGUGACGCCGCGUGCAGGAAGAAGGUCUUCGGAUUGUAAACUGCUUUUGACAGGGAAGAAAAAAGCCAGUACUUGUAGAAUAAGCUCUGGCUAACCACGUGCCAGCAGCCGCGGUAAUAUGUAGGGAGCAAGCGGUAUCCGGAUUUACUGGGUGUAAAGGGUUCGUAGUGGGAGAAGCAAGUUAGUUGUGAAAUCCCUCGGCUUAACUGAGGAACUGCAACUAAAACUACCUCCCUUGAGUACUGGAGAGGAAAGUGGAAUGCCUAGUGUAGCGGUGAAAUGCGUAGAUAUUAGGAGGAACACCAGUGGCGAAGGCGACUUUCUGGACAGUAACUGACGUUGAGGCACGAAAGUGUGGGGAGCAAACAGGAUUAGAUACCCGUGUAGUC